ACUUCAGAUGAACGCAUUUUAUUUCCUCUGUUAAACCAAAACUAAUAGAAUGUAACUCCAAAAAAGUUGUUGUUUUAAUUUCUAUUUUAUAUUUUUUCACCGCGACUAAAAAUUGUACAUAAAUUAUUUAUAGGAUUUUCAAAGAAAAAUAUAUAUAUAGACAAUCCGAUGCUACUGAUUGGAAUGUUGUAACCUGCAAAAAUAUUUAAAGUUUUAUUUUUUAGCAUUUUGAAUAGUUAUAUUUUAUCGUCAUGGCUUCAAGUUUGUAACUUAGAAGGGAAGCAAAGAAAAUAAAUUAAAAUCAUUUGUGGUUGUAAAAAAAUGUAAAGAUUUAAAUUUCUUGUUGUGACGAUAAAAGCAAAAAAUCUAAACAAAAUAUGCAAACUAUAAUAACAAUAGCGCUAUGAUUUGCAUAGAAGUUAUUAGUUAUACACUAGAAAUUUAUAACAAUUUCAAGUAUUUACCUAAUCAGAUUUAAAAAUGCCUUUGAGAAACCUUUUCUAUUACAUAAGUAGAAACAAUAAACGAUAUACAAUAGUUACAUAUUUAAAGACAGCAAUUAUAAUGUAUUUUCGUAUAUUAAAAAUAGUUUUAGUACUUCAAAGGACAGUGCAAUUCAGUGCAAAAUAAUAAAUUAGGAAAUUAUAGCACAAGCAUUUCUCAAAGACAGAAAUUUUCAUAUUUUAAAUAUAUUUUAGUAUAUCAAAGGUCAGUGCAAUUAAAAUAUAUAUAUAUUGAUAUAUAUAUGUGAAACAGUCAUAACAGUCAACAUUACAAUAAAUAAAAUUCAUUUAGAAGUUAACCAAAAAAAAUAACACCCAAAGGGAAAAGCGAUCAAAGAUGAAGGACAACUCCACUCACGGUACACAGUACACGCACCUCUUGACAUUACCGUAUUAGCGACUGUGCUUUUGUUACGAUUUAAGGUAAUAAUACUUUCAUAAUGAAAAUCCUCCAACCCUAUGAAUACCGUUACCUUUAUCAUCACUCAAUCAAUUCAAUCAACUCCUCGACAAAGUGAAGAAGAUAUAGAAUAAUCAAAGCUCGUUUAGGAUUAUGUCAAGAUGGUCCGUUGUGGUCGCUAUGGUUACAGAAAGCAAGAAAGAAUUAAAACACACACACACACACAAAACCACCUUAAAAGAAUAUUCUAAGCAAUAAACAUAACAACUUUCAUACAUACAGAAAGAGAAAGGUGGCUUAGCGCUUGGCUUCGAGAUUUUUUAGGGCGCCUUUGUCACAUGACACCCUCGUAAACAGUGGGCCAUAGAAACACAUGAACUUUAGCCUAUAAUUGCAAGGUUGAUAUCUCUCUCUAUAUAUAUAAUGACAAAAGUUAAAGUAUUUUUUAAUAGCUGUUAAACAUUUAUAAAAUAAAAAAAAAAUAAAAAAAUAAAAGCUUUGCUACAUCCGAAAUGUUCAGCAUUUGGUAUGGUUUUAUAUGUACAGCAAACUAACCUAUGUAAGCAAUAUUUAGAUCCUCAGAGUUCGAAAUUUAUAUAGAUAUAGAUCUAGGUGUUUUAUACAAGUAUAAAAAUAUAGAAACAAAAAUAAUUUUAUAACAUCAACAAUGCAACAACAUUGUCCAUUACAAUCAGAUACAUAAAAUAAAACAAAAUAUACUUUCAGACGCAUAUCCUAAGGCAAUGUCAUUAUAUUCAUUCAUACAAAUAAUACAGACCAUAUGUAAAUUAUUAAUGCCAUUCUUAAUCAGAACUAUUCAUUAUAUAAAAUGAACACAUGUUUCAAUUUUUGGAAAUCCUUAUACCAAUCAUGGCUUAUCAAUCAAAACGCUGUUCUUAGAGUAGCCAGCACAGUUAAAAAAAAAAAUAGAGAGUUUAAAAGGGAGAUAACUUUGUUUUGCUUUGUCUCUCUCUCUCUCUUGUCCCCCCCCCCCCCACCCCU
Molecule: non-coding RNA, 1905 nt
Organism: Biomphalaria pfeifferi
Lineage: Eukaryota; Metazoa; Mollusca; Gastropoda; Planorbidae
Source: the annotation of a GenBank genome assembly